RNAcentral lists this transfer RNA (88 nucleotides) under Patescibacteria group bacterium. Its description in RNAcentral is "tRNA-Arg". The record is from RNAcentral.
GAAAAUGUGGCUAGCGUCCGGAAAGAGCGCCGGGUUUCUAACCCGGAGGUGAUUGGAGUUGGGCGUUCCGAGUACGUCAUUGUCGCCA